AAUACCGCAUAACAAUAAAAGCCGCAUGGCUUUUAUUUGAAAGACGGCUUUGGCUAUCACUCUGGGAUGGACCUGCGGUGCAUUAGCUAGUUGGUAAGGUAACGGCUUACCAAGGCGAUGAUGCAUAGCCGAGUUGAGAGACUGAUCGGCCACAAUGGAACUGAGACACGGUCCAUACUCCUACGGGAGGCAGCAGUAGGGAAUCUUCCACAAUGGGCGCAAGCCUGAUGGAGCAACACCGCGUGAGUGAAGAAGGGUUUCGGCUCGUAAAGCUCUGUUGUUGGAGAAGAACGUGCGUGAGAGUAACUGUUCAUGCAGUGACGGUAUCCAACCAGAAAGUCACGGCUAACUACGUGCCAGCAGCCGCGGUAAUACGUAGGUGGCAAGCGUUAUCCGGAUUUAUUGGGCGUAAAGCGAGCGCAGGCGGUUGCUUAGGUCUGAUGUGAAAGCCUUCGGCUUAACCGAAGAAGUGCACCGGAAACCGGGCGACUUGAGUGCAGAAGAGGACAGUGGAGCUCCAUGUGUAGCGGUGGAAUGCGUAGAUAUAUGGAAGAACACCAGUGGCGAAGGCGGCUGUCUGGUCUGCAACUGACGCUGAGGCUCGAGAGCAUGGGUAGCGAACAGGAUUAGAUACCCUGGUAGUCCAUGCCGUAAACGAUGAGUGCUAGGUGUUGGAGGGUUUCCGCCCUUCAGUGCCGGAGC
RNAcentral lists this ribosomal RNA (702 nucleotides) under uncultured bacterium. Its description in RNAcentral is "bacterial SSU rRNA". It matches the Rfam family "Bacterial small subunit ribosomal RNA", at positions 165 to 852 of the family's 1533-position model. The record is from RNAcentral.